AGCGGGGUAGCAUAGUCUGGCCCAUUGCACCGCCCUCAUGAGGCGGACGUCGACGGUUCGAAUCCGUCUCCCGCUA
RNAcentral lists this transfer RNA (76 nucleotides) under Halorarum halophilum. Its description in RNAcentral is "Halobaculum halophilum tRNA". It matches the Rfam family "tRNA". Rfam says of the family: Transfer RNA (tRNA) molecules are approximately 80 nucleotides in length. Their secondary structure includes four short double-helical elements and three loops (D, anti-codon, and T loops). Further hydrogen bonds mediate the characteristic L-shaped molecular structure. tRNAs have two regions of fundamental functional importance: the anti-codon, which is responsible for specific mRNA codon recognition, and the 3' end, to which the tRNAs corresponding amino acid is attached (by aminoacyl-tRNA synthetases). tRNAs cope with the degeneracy of the genetic code in two manners: having more than one tRNA (with a specific anti-codon) for a particular amino acid; and 'wobble' base-pairing, i.e. permitting non-standard base-pairing at the 3rd anti-codon position. Lineage: Archaea; Methanobacteriati; Methanobacteriota; Halobacteria; Halobacteriales; Haloferacaceae. The record is from Rfam by way of RNAcentral.